RNAcentral lists this long non-coding RNA (307 nucleotides) under Mus spicilegus (steppe mouse). Its description in RNAcentral is "lncRNA (ENSMSIG00000002749.1)". Lineage: Eukaryota; Metazoa; Chordata; Mammalia; Rodentia; Muridae. The record is from RNAcentral.
AUUUCCCAGAUGGAAGAUGUUACAGUUCAGCUGGCAGAAAUAUUGAACGAAGUCAACAACUUCCUUCAAAGUGACUUUCGACAAGGACCGCCCUGCAAAGAGCCCAGAGUGCACAAUCCUUACAUGAGGGCGCGAGGAUGCCAAGGAUCUCACUGGUGAUGCUGGAUUUAAAGAUCGGGUGCCUUGGUGCAGCUGCUGUGACUGGAGACCUUGUUCAACUAGAAGCCCAAGAGUAGGCUGGAGAAACAGAGCAUUACCUUUUGCAUGUGUGAGGCAACAAUAAACACCCCUGGAAUGCUGUUCCUCA